Molecule: ribosomal RNA, 253 nt
Filed under: uncultured bacterium
Lineage: Bacteria
Description: partial 16S ribosomal RNA
Rfam family: Bacterial small subunit ribosomal RNA
Source: RNAcentral
UACGAAGGGGGCGAGCGUUGUUCGGAAUCACUGGGCGUAAAGGGCGCGUAGGCGGCCCUCCUUGUCGCGUGUGAAAGCCCCGGGCUCAACCUGGGAACGGCGCGCGAGACGGGGGGGCUGGAGUUCGGGAGAGGAGCGUGGAAUUCCCAGUGUAGAGGUGAAAUUCGUAGAUAUCAGGAGGAACACCAAUAGCGAAGGCAGCUCGCUGGGACGUUACUGACACUGAGGCGCGAAAGCGUGGGGAGCGAACAGG